AAAGAGUCUAUGAACGAAACGAGUACGUUUGAGCUGACAGUUUCAGAGAGCCGGCGGCGGUGAGAGCCCGGUACGUGUCGACAAACGGAAUGGAUUCGGGAGAUGCGCCCUGAACGGAAACCAGUAGGGAGUGCCGGUGUAUUUCCACCGUUAAUAAAGAAACGUGUAUCGCAUAAGCUGUACAUGAUGAGUCGGGCGCAAUGCCAAUUUGGGUGGUACCGCGGAAGAAUAUGUAACCUUUCGUCCCUUUA
This 251-nucleotide non-coding RNA is filed under the name Megasphaera micronuciformis. RNAcentral's name for it is "T-box sequence". It matches the Rfam family "T-box leader". From Rfam's summary of the family: Uncharged tRNA acts as the effector for transcription antitermination of genes in the T-box leader family. The record is from RNAcentral. Lineage: Bacteria; Bacillati; Bacillota; Negativicutes; Veillonellales; Veillonellaceae.